RNAcentral lists this transfer RNA (72 nucleotides) under Planctomyces sp. RNAcentral's name for it is "tRNA-Thr". It matches the Rfam family "tRNA". From Rfam's summary of the family: Transfer RNA (tRNA) molecules are approximately 80 nucleotides in length. Their secondary structure includes four short double-helical elements and three loops (D, anti-codon, and T loops). Further hydrogen bonds mediate the characteristic L-shaped molecular structure. tRNAs have two regions of fundamental functional importance: the anti-codon, which is responsible for specific mRNA codon recognition, and the 3' end, to which the tRNAs corresponding amino acid is attached (by aminoacyl-tRNA synthetases). tRNAs cope with the degeneracy of the genetic code in two manners: having more than one tRNA (with a specific anti-codon) for a particular amino acid; and 'wobble' base-pairing, i.e. permitting non-standard base-pairing at the 3rd anti-codon position. The record is from RNAcentral. RNAcentral also lists the same sequence under 3 other names. Lineage: Bacteria; Pseudomonadati; Planctomycetota; Planctomycetia; Planctomycetales; Planctomycetaceae.
GCACUGGUCGUUUAGCGGCCAAGACACCGCACCCGUAAUGCGGCAACGUGGGUUCGAGUCCCACCCGGUGCU